GGAGGAUCCAAGCGUUAUCCGGAUUUAUUGGGUUUAAAGGGUGCGUAGGCGGCUUAUUAAGUCAGGGGUGAAAGACGGUGGCUCAACCAUCGCAGUGCCCUUGAUACUGAUGAGCUUGAAUGGACUAGAGGUAGGCGGAAUGUGACAAGUAGCGGUGAAAUGCAUAGAUAUGUCACAGAACACCGAUUGCGAAGGCAGCUUACUAUGGUUUUAUUGACGCUGAGGCACGAAAGCGUGGGGAUCAAACAGGAUUAGAUACCCUGGUAGUCCACGCCCUAAACGAUGAAUACUCGCUGUUGGCGAUAUACAGUCAGCGGCUAAGCGAAAGCGUUAAGUAUUCCACCUGGGGAGUACGCCCGCAAGGGUG
This 367-nucleotide ribosomal RNA is filed under the name uncultured bacterium. RNAcentral's name for it is "bacterial SSU rRNA". It matches the Rfam family "Bacterial small subunit ribosomal RNA", at positions 527 to 896 of the family's 1533-position model. The record is from RNAcentral.